UACGGAGGGGGCUAGCGUUGUUCGGAAUUACUGGGCGUAAAGCGCGCGUAGGCGGACCUGCAAGUCGGGGGUGAAAGCCCGAGGCUCAACCUCGGAACUGCCUUCGAUACUGCGGGUCUCGAGUCCGGGAGAGGUGAGUGGAAUUCCUAGUGUAGAGGUGAAAUUCGUAGAUAUUAGGAAGAACACCAGUGGCGAAGGCGGCUCACUGGCCCGACACUGACGCUGAGGCGCGAAAGCGUGGGGAGCAAACAGG
This 253-nucleotide ribosomal RNA is filed under the name uncultured bacterium. Its description in RNAcentral is "partial 16S ribosomal RNA". It matches the Rfam family "Bacterial small subunit ribosomal RNA", at positions 524 to 776 of the family's 1533-position model. The record is from RNAcentral.